This 87-nucleotide non-coding RNA is filed under the name Halomonas sp. BC04. The record is from RNAcentral. Lineage: Bacteria; Pseudomonadati; Pseudomonadota; Gammaproteobacteria; Oceanospirillales; Halomonadaceae.
CGCAAUGGCGGCUGUGCGCGGGACACCUUCGGGUGUGCCGGGUUCCUAGAGUCCCGGUCGGCCAACCUGCGUACAGUCGCCCCCAUC